Long non-coding RNA from Acanthaster planci (crown-of-thorns starfish), 535 nucleotides. NCBI's taxonomy places the organism in Eukaryota, Metazoa, Echinodermata, Asteroidea, Valvatida, Acanthasteridae. The record is from RefSeq and is a predicted model, not a curated record.
CGCGCGAGUAUUAGCAUGACAAUGCUACGCACGAGAACGCAUGUGUGGCCACGUUGGCGGGUUUGUUUAAAUGUGACUUCACAGGAGCAGUAAUGGAGAGACGAGGAACACUCCUGUGAGACCGUUUUCUGGAUUGUUGCACAUCUGAUAUAUAUUCUGACACUUGAUUGUAUUCAGCAGGGUUGUAGACUGGAAUGCCAGUUAGCCUUUGUGAUGGAAAUGAGACAUUUGCUGGAUUGUUUUCUAGAGCACAAGCCGCUUAUGAGUCGUUGCUGACAGGACGACCAGCUUCUUGGCAUUUCUUGAUGAUGGCCACUGUUGUUAAGACUGUGGUCUCCUGUAUUGGCCUUUAGUUGGACCGAGAGAGAAUACUAUUUCCUUGGCAUCAGAGGCUCCUUUGGUACAAACUGUGCAUCACUGGUUCAUGAACGACUAGGACAUGCAAGACGUGCAGCCCCAUCACUACCAACAAAAUGAAUACUCCCAACCAACAGGGCUCUUUUCAACCAAUUAAGUUGUGCUUCUACUCAAGGCA